This 379-nucleotide ribosomal RNA is filed under the name uncultured Paramicrosporidium. RNAcentral's name for it is "SSU rRNA". It matches the Rfam family "Eukaryotic small subunit ribosomal RNA", at positions 585 to 972 of the family's 1831-position model. The record is from RNAcentral. Lineage: Eukaryota; Fungi; Rozellomycota.
CCAGCUCCAAUAGCGUAUAUUAAAGUUGUUGCAGUUAAAAAGCUCGUAGUUGAAGGAGGGGCGACGGGACGGGGUGAAUCGCAAGAUUGGACGCUGUCGCGUUGCCCAGAGGGGGCGGCAGGCUGGGGGCCGAGCGAUCGGGACCGGGCCAGGCCGACCGAGUUACUGUGAAGAAAUUAGAGUGUUUAAAGCAAGUAGGAUAGCUUGAAUAGGCCAGCAUGGAAUAACAAGAUAGGACAUUGGGCCUCUUGUUGGUUUGGGGACGAGUGUAAUGAUUAAUAGGGCCAGUUGGGGGCAUUAGUAUUUGGUAGUCAGAGGUGAAAUUCUUGGAUUUACCAAAGACUAACUAGUGCGAAAGCAUUUGCCAAGGAUGGUUUCA